Molecule: transfer RNA, 75 nt
Filed under: Bacillota bacterium
Lineage: Bacteria; Bacillati; Bacillota
Also listed under: 1 other name
Description: tRNA-Gly
Rfam family: tRNA
About the family: Transfer RNA (tRNA) molecules are approximately 80 nucleotides in length. Their secondary structure includes four short double-helical elements and three loops (D, anti-codon, and T loops).
Source: RNAcentral
GUGGGCGUCGUAUAAUGGUUAUUACACGUGCUUGCCAAGCAUGAAAUGGGGGUUCGAUUCUCCUCGCCCGCUCCA